AUUGAACGCUGGCGGCAUGCCUUACACAUGCAAGUCGAACGGCAGCACGGGAGCAAUCCUGGUGGCGAGUGGCGAACGGGUGAGUAAUGUAUCGGAACGUGCCCAGUCGUGGGGGAUAACGUAGCGAAAGCUACGCUAAUACCGCAUACGAUCUAUGGAUGAAAGCGGGGGAUCGCAAGACCUCGCGCGAUUGGAGCGGCCGAUAUCAGAUUAGGUAGUUGGUGGGGUAAAGGCCCCCCAAGCCUGCGAUCUGUAGCUGGUCUGAGAGGAGGACCAGCCACACUGGAACUGAGACACGGUCCAGACUCGUACGGGAGACAGCAGUGGGGAAUUUUGGACAAGGGGCGCAAGCCGGAUCCAGCAAUGCCGCGUGCAGGAUGAAGGCCUUCGGGUUGUAAACUGCUUUUGUACGGAACGAAACGGCUUUUUCUAAUACAGAGAGCUAAUGACGGUACCGUAAGAAUAAGCACCGGCUAACUACGUGCCAGCCGCCGCUGUAA
Molecule: ribosomal RNA, 500 nt
Filed under: uncultured bacterium
Lineage: Bacteria
Description: partial 16S ribosomal RNA
Rfam family: Bacterial small subunit ribosomal RNA
Source: RNAcentral